GCCUUGGUGGCGGAAUUGGCAUACGCGCUAGCCUUAGGAGCUAGUGCCCUAACGGGCUUGAGAGUUCAAAUCUCUCCCAAGGCACCA
This 87-nucleotide transfer RNA is filed under the name Candidatus Doudnaibacteriota bacterium. RNAcentral describes it as "Candidatus Doudnabacteria bacterium tRNA-Leu". It matches the Rfam family "tRNA". Rfam says of the family: Transfer RNA (tRNA) molecules are approximately 80 nucleotides in length. Their secondary structure includes four short double-helical elements and three loops (D, anti-codon, and T loops). The record is from RNAcentral. Lineage: Bacteria; Candidatus Doudnaibacteriota.